UUUUUUUUUUUUUUUAAAUCAGGAAUCAUGUCUGAAAGCUGCCACAACCAGUUGUAUAGGCAUGUCAAAAUGACUUUAUACAGUCAAUAUGAAACAAGCAUUAAAUAUUUUUUCUCAUGUUGUUGCUUUUAUCAUUAUGAAUUCCUUGCUUGUUGCCACCUAAGAUACGAUGGAGCAAGCACAGUCUUAAAGAAGAUUUGCUGAUUUUUUGUUUUUCUCAGCAGACCAGAGACAUCCAUAAAAAUUCAUCAGAGAGCAUUUUACUACUGAGCUGCAAAGGUUACUACCUUUCUGCUUGUAGAAGAAUCCAAGUAGUUGGGUCUUUUUUUUUUUGGUUUAUAAUGAACAGGCAUUUGAACUGGGCAAACAGGACGACAGCAGCAGUGAGCAUGAGAUCAUUGCAUUGCAGCACUGUAGCAAACUGGCACCCUGCCUUUGCACCCCUUUGGUUCAGGAGACAAACGUGUGUAAUCCUCAUUUCUAAAGUCAGCACAGCCUGGAAGGAUUCCUGGUCUCUCCCACCUUCUACCAUUCUGCUGCCAGUGACGGCAAGGAUUGGUGUAGCUUCUGCGCAGUGCUUUGUGCCUGGAAUACCGAGAAGGAAGAAAAAGAAGACAAGCACCCUGGUCCUUUUCUAAGAAAUUACAGGCGCCCUUGAAGAAAAAAUCUGAGUGUGUCCUACUACAUGCAAGAGUGCUGGAAAAAAAAAAAAAAAAAAAAAAAAAA
This 726-nucleotide long non-coding RNA is filed under the name Homo sapiens (human). RNAcentral's name for it is "mir-99a-let-7c cluster host gene". Lineage: Eukaryota; Metazoa; Chordata; Mammalia; Primates; Hominidae. The record is from RNAcentral.